Macaca mulatta (Rhesus monkey) is the source of this 249-nucleotide non-coding RNA. NCBI's taxonomy places the organism in Eukaryota, Metazoa, Chordata, Mammalia, Primates, Cercopithecidae. The record is from RefSeq and is a predicted model, not a curated record.
AGGUUAUUGCAUUCAUGAAGCUGCCCUGAAAUUGCUUUCAGAUCUCAGAGGAAGAAACACCUAAGCCCACUGGGGAGGAAAAUGCACUACAAUUAUCUGAGAUCAUGGGAAAAGCUGAAAUGUGGCUCAUUCAAAACUACUGGUGUUUGGAAUUUCCUCACCCACCCUUACCUAAUUUUGAAUUUGCUGUAGGACCCUACUGCAAACCUGUCAAACCCCUGUCUAAGGUAAACCUAUUCCUAGUUGUUU